GUAAGAACUGGCACCUCGUUUUCCCAGAGAGAAGAGCCAGUCCCUCACCUAUGGGAACCUGAGCUCCAGUGCCUGUGACUCAUCCCUGCUCCGCCGGUGCACUUUGCUGGAAUGAAAGUUUGCAGGUAUUUUUCUGCUUCUUUCUUCAUCUCCACAAUACUCCCAUGAAGUGUUCCCAUUUUUCCAGAGAGCCCAGGGAAGAUGAAGAAAAUGAGGAGAACAGAUAUGAAGCGAUUUACCCAGCUACCCACCUCACUCCUGCUACAAAAUAAAUGGGCUAGAACUAGGGCUCACUCUGGGGAUUCUGUAUCUAAACCCAAAAUUCUUCCCAUGGGUUCCCACGAAGACCCCCAAAGGCAAAGGCAGUUCUUUCCUUAAGCUUUAACGAUGACGAUUUUCAAACAUAUGCAAAAUUACACAAAAUAGUAUAACAAAUAGUAAAUAGUAAAACAAAAUAACAAAAAAGCCCACUUAUCGUCAACCCAUGGUCAACCUUUUU
This is a long non-coding RNA of Prionailurus viverrinus (fishing cat), 499 nucleotides long. RefSeq lists it as uncharacterized. NCBI's taxonomy places the organism in Eukaryota, Metazoa, Chordata, Mammalia, Carnivora, Felidae. The transcript has 3 exons. The record is from RefSeq and is a predicted model, not a curated record.